GACGAACGCUGGCGGCGUGCUUAACACAUGCAAGUCGAACGAAGUGGCGAACGGGUGAGUAACGCGUAAACAACCUGCCCUUCAGAGGGGGACAACAGUUGGAAACGACUGCUAAUACCGCAUACUGAAGGAGGGGAUUGCGUCGGAUUAGCUAGUUGGAGGGGUAACGGCCCACCAAGGCGAUGAUCAGUAGCCGGUCUGAGAGGAAGAACGGCCACAUUGGGACUGGGAAACGGCCCAGACUCCUACGGGAGGGAGCAGUGGGGAAUCGUCCGAAAUGGGCGAAAGUCUGACGGAGCAACGCCGCGUGAGUGAUGACGGCCUGCGGGUUGUAAAGCUCUGUUAAUCGGGACGCGGUACCGGAAUAGAAAGCCACGGCUAACUACGUGCCAGCAGCCGCGGUAAUAC
This 408-nucleotide ribosomal RNA is filed under the name uncultured bacterium. RNAcentral describes it as "partial 16S ribosomal RNA". It matches the Rfam family "Bacterial small subunit ribosomal RNA", at positions 28 to 526 of the family's 1533-position model. The record is from RNAcentral.